AUUGAACGCUGGCGGCAUGCUUUACACAUGCAAGUCGAACGGCAGCGGGGGCUUCGGCCCGCCGGCGAGUGGCGAACGGGUGAGUAAUGCAUCGGAACGUGCCCAGUCGUGGGGGAUAACACAUCGAAAGAUGUGCUAAUACCGCAUACGUCCUGAGGGAGAAAGCGGGGGAUCUUCGGACCUCGCGCGAUUGGAGCGGCCGAUGUCGGAUUAGCUAGUUGGUGGGGUAAAGGCCCACCAAGGCGACGAUCCGUAGCGGGUCUGAGAGGAUGAUCCGCCACACUGGGACUGAGACACGGCCCAGACUCCUACGGGAGGCAGCAGUGGGGAAUUUUGGACAAUGGGGGCAACCCUGAUCCAGCCAUGCCGCGUGAGUGAAGAAGGC
RNAcentral lists this ribosomal RNA (385 nucleotides) under uncultured bacterium. Its description in RNAcentral is "bacterial SSU rRNA". It matches the Rfam family "Bacterial small subunit ribosomal RNA", at positions 28 to 415 of the family's 1533-position model. The record is from RNAcentral.